GAUGAACGCUGGCGGCAUGCCUUAUACAUGCAAGUCGAGCGAUCAGAGGAGUACCUUUCCCGUCGAAUGUUGGCGGGGUACGGAUUACAACCACAUGGAUACCCGACCUGUAGGACUGGAAUAACUUGGUUAACCCGUACCUAAUACCGGAUAAUUUUUUAAACCGCAUGCUUCAAUAGUUAACGCCGGUUUAGCGGCCACUUACAGAUGAAUCCGCGCCGAAUUAGCUAGUUGGUCAGGUAAAGGCUUACCAAGUCUACGAUGCGUAGCCGCCCUGAGAGGGCGAUCGGCCACACUGGAACUGAGACACGGUCCAGACUCCUACGGGAGGCAGCAGUAGGGAAUCUUCCGCAAUGGGCGAAAGCCUGACGGAGCAACGCCGCGUGAAUGAUGAAGGUCUUCGGAUCGUAAACUGCUGUUAUUCGGGACGAACAAAUGUGUAAGAAACUAUGCACGUCUUGACGGUACCGUAUCAGAAAGCCACGGCUAACUACGUG
RNAcentral lists this ribosomal RNA (497 nucleotides) under uncultured bacterium. RNAcentral describes it as "partial 16S ribosomal RNA". It matches the Rfam family "Bacterial small subunit ribosomal RNA", at positions 28 to 507 of the family's 1533-position model. The record is from RNAcentral.